GUAACAGGGAAUAGUUUACUAUUUUGCUGACGACCGGCGCACGGGUGAGUAACGCGUAUACAAUUUGCCUUUUACAGGAGGAUAGCCCAGAGAAAUUUGGAUUAAUACUCCAUGGUAUUACGAGAUCGCAUGGUUUUGUAAUUAAAGUUUCGGCGGUAGAAGAUGAGUAUGCGUCCUAUUAGCUAGUUGGUAAGGUAACGGCUUACCAAGGCGACGAUAGGUAGGGGUCCUGAGAGGGAGAUCCCCCACACUGGUACUGAGACACGGACCAGACUCCUACGGGAGGCAGCAGUGAGGAAUAUUGGUCAAUGGAGGCAACUCUGAACCAGCCAUGCCGCGUGCAGGAAGACUGCCCUAUGGGUUGUAAACUGCUUUUAUACAGGAAGAAACUUACUCACGUGUGGGUAACCGACGGUACUGUACGAAUAAGGACCGGCUAACUCCGUGCCAGCAGCCGCGGUAAUACGGAGGGUCCGAGCGUUAUCCGGAAUCAUUGGGUUUAAAGGGUCCGUAGGCGGGCUAUUAAGUCAGAGGUGAAAUUGUGCAGCUCAACUGUAGAACUGCCUUUGAUACUGAUAGUCUUGAGUUAUGGUGAGGUAGCCGGAACAUGUGGUGUAGCGGUGAAAUGCAUAGAUAUCACAUAGAACGCCGAUUGCGAAGGCAGGUUACCAACCAUAUACUGACGCUGAUGGACGAAAGCGUGGGGAGCGAACGGGAUUAGAUACCCCGGUAGUCCACGCCGUAAACGAUGGAUACUAGCUGUUGGGUUUUCGGACUCAGCGGCCAAGCGAAAGUGAUAAGUAUCCCACCUGGGGAGUACGUUCGCAAGAAUGAA
Molecule: ribosomal RNA, 835 nt
Filed under: uncultured bacterium
Lineage: Bacteria
Description: bacterial SSU rRNA
Rfam family: Bacterial small subunit ribosomal RNA
Source: RNAcentral